Molecule: ribosomal RNA, 494 nt
Filed under: uncultured bacterium
Lineage: Bacteria
Description: partial 16S ribosomal RNA
Rfam family: Bacterial small subunit ribosomal RNA
Source: RNAcentral
GACGAACGCUGGCGGCGUGCUUAACACAUGCAAGUCGAACGGAAAGGCCUGCUUUCCCUUGUGGAUUGCGGGUACUCGAGUGGCGAACGGGUGAGUAACACGUGAGUGAUCUGCCCCCAACUUGGGUAUAAGCCUGGGAAACUGGGUCUAAUUCCCGAUAGGACUGCAGGGUGGUGCCUGUGGUGGGAAACGAUUUUCUAGUGGUUGGGGAUGAGCUCGCGGCCUAUCAGCUUGUUGGUGGGGUAAUGGCCUACCAAGGCGGCGACGGGUAGCCGGCCUGGGAGGGUGGACGGCCGCAUUGGGACUGGGAUCCGGCCCCGACGGGUACGGGAGGGAGGAGAGGGGAAUAUUGCACGAGGAGCGGAAGCCUGAUGCAGCGACGCCGCGUGGGAGAUGACGGGCUUGGGGUAGUAAACUCCUUGGGACCGAGAGGAAGCCACCUGGUUGGAAGGGUGGUGACGGUAGUGGUAGAAGAAGCAACGGCUAACUACGUG